GCAGUCCCUGAUGACUAAUGAGCUAGGAGCAAGGCAGACUUGGCAGUACAUCAGGGGUCUCUGCUAGCCCUUCUCAGACUCUCACAUGGAGCAGCAGUGAACACUGGUUAUUCCCAACAUCAUCAGUUAACUGCCACGCUGCUUUCUGCAAGGCUGUGAGAUCCCUGGAAAAAAGGUCCAUCACAGAUUUGGGGGACUCUGUCUGCAUUGUCCUGUCAGACCCAGGAUGACAACUCAGCCACAGUCUGGAGCAGUUAUGGUCACUGUAACACAAGGACUGUAGAAAGGAAUGUGCUGAAUCACACAUCGGUUCUCAGACUCUCUGCCCAGAGACAACACCUUCCUAUUUGAUUGUUCAACUCCAUUGGUAAGGGCAGAAUAACACAGUCCUGCCAUGUGCUUGGAAGAUGAGCAAGUGUCCCUAGUGACAUGGAGGACACGACAAUUCACUUGGUCCCAACAGCAGGUGAGGACACUGUGUCCCAGCAACUUCAGCAUGUGUUUGUAUGAACAUAUGUAAAGGAUGUCAUAUUAAAUAAAAAUGAACUUCAUAAAAGUUUAUCU
This is a long non-coding RNA of Fukomys damarensis (Damara mole-rat), 564 nucleotides long. RefSeq lists it as uncharacterized. The transcript is spliced from 3 exons. The record is from RefSeq and is a predicted model, not a curated record. NCBI's taxonomy places the organism in Eukaryota, Metazoa, Chordata, Mammalia, Rodentia, Bathyergidae.